CAUCGAUGAAGAACGCAGCGAAAUGCGAUAAGUAAUGUGAAUUGCAGAAUUCAGUGAAUCAUCGAAUCUUUGAACGCACAUUGCGCCCCUUGGUAUUCCGGGGGGCAUGCCUGUUCGAGCGUCAUUUCAACCCUCAAGCUUAGCU
RNAcentral lists this ribosomal RNA (145 nucleotides) under Botrytis cinerea. RNAcentral describes it as "5.8S ribosomal RNA". The stretch from base 1 to 124 matches the Rfam family "5.8S ribosomal RNA", at positions 31 to 154 of the family's 154-position model. Rfam says of the family: 5.8S ribosomal RNA (5.8S rRNA) is a component of the large subunit of the eukaryotic ribosome. It is transcribed by RNA polymerase I as part of the 45S precursor that also contains 18S and 28S rRNA. Functionally, it is thought that 5.8S rRNA may be involved in ribosome translocation. The record is from RNAcentral. Lineage: Eukaryota; Fungi; Ascomycota; Leotiomycetes; Helotiales; Sclerotiniaceae.